CGCAGCGACGCCGCGUGAGUGAUGAAGGCCUUCGGGUCGUAAAGCUCUGUCGUAUGGGACUAACAAAAUGAAGGUACCAUGCAAGAAAGGAUCGGCUAACUUCGUGCCAGCAGCCGCGGUAAGACGAGGGAUCCUAGCGUUGUUCGGAAUUAUUGGGCGUAAAGCGGGUGUAGGCGGACUUAUAAGUCAGGUGUGAAAUCCCAGGGCUCAACCCUGGAAGUGCACUUGAUACUGCAAGUCUUGAGUGUGGUAGAGGCUAUUAGAAUUCCUGGUGUAGUGGUGAAAUACGUAGAUAUCAGGAGGAAUACCGGAGGCGAAGGCGGAUAGCUGGGCCAACACUGACGCUGAGAUCCGAAAGCGUGGGGAUCAAACAGGAUUAGAUACCCUGGUAGUCCACGCUGUAAACGAUGGAUACUUGUUGUUAGAGGUAUUGACCCCUCUAGUGACGUAGCUAACGCGUUAA
RNAcentral lists this ribosomal RNA (463 nucleotides) under uncultured bacterium. RNAcentral's name for it is "bacterial SSU rRNA". It matches the Rfam family "Bacterial small subunit ribosomal RNA", at positions 387 to 863 of the family's 1533-position model. The record is from RNAcentral.